CGGACGGGUGAGUAACGCGUGAGAAUCUGGCCUCAGGUCCGGGACAACCACUGGAAACGGUGGCUAAUACCGGAUGUGCCUUAUGGUGAAAGAUUAAUUGCCUGAGGAUGAGCUCGCGCCUGAUUAGCUAGUUGGUGGGGUAAAAGCCUACCAAGGCUGCGAUCAGUAACUGGUCUGAGAGGAUGACCAGUCACACUGGGACUGAGACACGGCCCAGACUCCUACGGGAGGCAGCAGUGGGGAAUUUUCCGCAAUGGGCGAAAGCCUGACGGAGCAAUACCGCGUGAGGGAGGAAGGCUCUUGGGUUGUAAACCUCUUUUCUCAGGGAAGAACAAUGACGGUACCUGAGGAAUCAGCAUCGGCUAACUCCGUGCCAGCAGCCGCGGUAAUACGGAGGAUGCAAGCGUUAUCCGGAAUUAUUGGGCGUAAAGCGUCUGUAGGUGGACAUUCAAGUCUGCUGUCAAAGACCGGGGCUUAACCCUGGAAAGGCGGUGGAAACUGAAAGUCUAGAGUGCGGUAGGGGCAGAGGGAAUUCCCAGUGUAGCGGUGAAAUGCGUAGAGAUUGGGAAGAACACCGGUGGCGAAAGCGCUCUGCUGGGCCUGCACUGACACUAAGGGACGAAAGCUAGGGGAGCGAAUGGGAUUAGAUACCCCAGUAGUC
RNAcentral lists this ribosomal RNA (661 nucleotides) under uncultured bacterium. RNAcentral's name for it is "bacterial SSU rRNA". It matches the Rfam family "Bacterial small subunit ribosomal RNA", at positions 99 to 795 of the family's 1533-position model. The record is from RNAcentral.